UACACACCGCCCGUCACACCAUGGGAGUCAGUUGCUCCAGAAACGGCUGCGCUAACCCGCAAGGGGGGCAGGUCUUUAAGGAGUGGCUGGUAACUGGGGUG
Molecule: ribosomal RNA, 101 nt
Filed under: uncultured bacterium
Lineage: Bacteria
Description: partial 16S ribosomal RNA
Rfam family: Bacterial small subunit ribosomal RNA
Source: RNAcentral